This 466-nucleotide ribosomal RNA is filed under the name uncultured bacterium. Its description in RNAcentral is "partial 16S ribosomal RNA". It matches the Rfam family "Bacterial small subunit ribosomal RNA", at positions 28 to 507 of the family's 1533-position model. The record is from RNAcentral.
GAUGAACGCUGGCGGCGUGCUUAACACAUGCAAGUCGAACGAUGAAGCUCAGCUUGCUGGGUGGAUUAGUGGCGAACGGGUGAGUAACACGUGAGUAACCUGCCCUUAACUCUGGGAUAAGCCUGGGAAACUAGGUCUAAUACCGGAUAGGAGCGCCUACCGCAUGGUGGGUGUUGGAAAGAUUUAUCGGUUUUGGAUGGACUCGCGGCCUAUCAGCUUGUUGGUGAGGUAAUGGCUCACCAAGGCGACGACGGGUAGCCGGCCUGAGAGGGUGACCGGCCACACUGGGACUGAGAUACGGCCCAGACUCCUACGGGAGGCAGCAGUGGGGAAUAUUGCACAAUGGGCGAAAGCCUGAUGCAGCGACGCCGCGUGAGGGAUGACGGCCUUCGGGUUGUAAACCUCUUUCAGUAGGGAAGAAGCGAAAGUGACGGUACCUGCAGAAGAAGCACCGGCUAACUACGUG